RNAcentral lists this unclassified non-coding RNA (90 nucleotides) under Pseudomonas mediterranea. The record is from RNAcentral. Lineage: Bacteria; Pseudomonadati; Pseudomonadota; Gammaproteobacteria; Pseudomonadales; Pseudomonadaceae.
UGUGGGAGCGAGCCUGCUCGCGAUUGCGGAGUGUCAGAUAACAAAGUUGUUGGCUGAUACCGCACUAUCGCGAGCAGGCUCGCUCCCACA